Solanum lycopersicum (tomato) is the source of this 2934-nucleotide long non-coding RNA. RefSeq lists it as uncharacterized. The record is from RefSeq and is a predicted model, not a curated record. NCBI's taxonomy places the organism in Eukaryota, Viridiplantae, Streptophyta, Magnoliopsida, Solanales, Solanaceae.
UGUUUCUGAAUUUUUUCAUUAUUUUUAGCAUGGCAAACACUUGAUAAUAUAUUGAAGAAUUAGAGCAACAUCAUUUACCAGAAGUAUUUCUUCUUAUUGAAAGCAAAUUGUCACAAAGUAAACAAUUGAGCACACAUUCAUAAUAGUGAUAAAGGUCUACAAAUAUUUUACAUCCUUUUUCAAAUUUCACCAACAAUGUUUUUGUGUUAAAACUGAAUUGAAGGAAUGAAAUCACUUAGGGAUAAAAGCACGAGUAAUUAAUGAAUAUCCUUAACCAAGGCAAAAUAAUUUCAAUUUGCAUGUCUAAUCAUUUAACGCCAAAAUUUCUACAGCAGUAACAAAUUGAGUAGGUCGCUUAGUACAGCUCGAUCUAUUGCCACUGUAUUAUUGAUAAAACGGGAAAGGGUCAAAAAUAUUCUUAAACUAUAAGAAAUAGCUUAAAUAUAUCCUUGAAGUAUAUUUCGGUUCAAAUAUAUCCUUAUCGUUAAAUUAUAGGGUCAAAAAUACUCUUUUCAUUAACAAAAUCGGUUAAACGCCACUAAGAUGCCAUGUGGAUGUCACAUGGCAUGCCACAUAAGCCAAUAAAGUUUCAUUCAUGCCACGUAGACUAAUAAACUUACUCCUAAUUUUCCUCAAUUUUCUCCAUUUUCUAUAGAAUUUAGAAACGAUUUCACUGAAAAAUAUAAAACCCCUUUUCCUCAUUUCUCCAUGUUCUUAGAAUGAUUUCACAAAAUACAUAAGUUCUAAGAGAAAGGGGUUCUAUGUUCUUCAGUGAAAUCAUUUCUAAAUUCUAAAGGAAAUACAAAAAAUUAGGGAAAAGUUUAUUUUCUACAUGUAUUGGAGAUAAUACAGAAUUAAAGGAAUAAUUAUAUAUGUUGAUUAGUUAGUUAGUUAGGAGUUAGUUAAUUUGUUAAUGAGUUAGUUGGGUUAGUUAGGAGUUAGUCAAUACAUUCCACAUGUAUAUAUAGUACCAUACUUCAUCUUUGUAAGUCAGUUUUUCAUAUAUACAAAUCAGAAAUUUCCCAAACUGAUUUCUCUCUUCUACUCUGUUCAUAUUUGUUCAACAUGGCACGAGUGGAAUUCUAUUGGCUUAUGUGGCAAUGUCAUGUGGUAUUCACAUGGCAUCCAAGUGGCGCUUAACAUAUCCUGUUAAUGUGAAGGAUAUUUUUGAUCCUAUAGUUUGAGGGGAAGGGUAUAUUUAAGCCGAAAUAUAGUUCAAGGAUAUAUUUACGCUAUUUCAAAUAAUUUAAGGGUAUUUUUUAUCCUUCCCCGUUGAUAAAAUAAUAAAGGAUAGUUUGAUGACUUAAUUGUUAUAGCAAGAAAAAUUUAAUAAUUUACUGUCAUAAUAAGUAAAAUUCAAUUACUUUACAUGACAUGAAGAAUUUACCAAUCAUAGUAGAUAUAAUUUGGUAAUUAUAUUUGUAAUUAACCCAAAUAAGUGCAUCAAGGUAACUGAAUUGGCAAACUUAAAGUCCAAUAUAACUACUCAAACCAUUAGCCUAUCUGCCUUCUUUCAAUUUCACUCAGCAGAAACUUCAGUUUUUCUAUAUACACAAACAUCAUGAAGGGAUAUUGGCGUUUUAUACACAAACCAGGUAAUUAAUGGUCUCUGUUUAUUAUUGUUAUUUGAUAUUUUUUGUGAAAAUAGGAAAUAUAUUCCGUCACAAAUAGUAAUGGAAGGAACCUCAAUUUGCUCGUGAUGGAAGAGACAGAUCAAAUUUCCAAUCUGCCAGAGCCAGUUUUGAUCACAUUCUGUAUUUCCUUGACAUCAAAGAUGCUGCGAAAAUGAGUACAUUGUCAAAGGAGGUUAUUGAUCAAAUUAAUUUUAGAAGCUCUUGACACUGAAUGGUACUCCAAGCUCAUAGAGUCUAUUGGUAACUUUGAUAAAUCCAGGGCUAUUACACUUAGUUGUGACUCUGAUAAGGUGAUAGUUAAUACCGAAAGAAAUGAGAGAAAACUUGGUUCCUCCACUAAACAUAUACAUAUAAAAAUUAGGGACAGGACGAAUUAUUCAGUAGUGGACGUUGUUGAUAGUUUACUUUGGAUUUCUCCUCACCUGGACACCUUAUCUGUGGACCAGGGUCGAAGCAUACAGAGCUUGAUCAAGGCAAUAUGCUUAUCUUUCAAAAGCACUGGCUAAGGUUUCUUAUCUCUAAAGUUUUUUUGCAAUUAGUUUCUUUUGAUUCAUUGUUUUAGUAACAUAGCAUCCUUCAUGAUUGGUUCAGUAUCUUUUGUUUAGAGUCCAAUUAUGAGAAGAUUAACCAUAACCUAGGAGAUAAUGGUCAAAAACACAUAGAUACUAGUCGAGAUGUGUUUUUGAUAAAUAGUUGGUAAUAGUUCAGAUAAGAAACACAAACACCUUAUAGUUGAGGUAGGAACUUGCAAAAAGUGACACUCCAGGUGUGUUUCGGACCAUUAUCUCCAAAACAUAACGGUUUGUAAAUCAACUGCUUAUAUGUAUUCUGUCGACUAAAGAAACUUAUAUGAGCAUAUCACGUUUUAUAUAUUAUACCAACAUGCGGUUCAUAUUUAUGAUCGGUUGCCUGUUUUACCUUUGUUCCUGUUGUGGUUUUCUCUGGUUUCUUAGUUUACAUACAGAAAUGCUGCUGAUGAUAAAGAUCGCAAACGUAAUUGGGCAUCUCUAGCGUGGAUAUGUUGGAGUCAUGGGCUGAAGAGAGUUCAAUUGCAAAACUUUACACGUACGGAGCUAGAGAAGUUGAGAAACUAUUUUCUAAAAAUUUCAAAUACUUUGAGCAUAAUUGAAGAUCCACCAGAAUGAAGCCUUUCCACUUCUCUUCAAUAAAUGUACUUGUGAAUAAGUUUAUACAUUAUGUGUUGUUGAGUUUAGCUAAUUUUAUGUUUUGAAUAAUUUUGUUUUGGUGAUUUACUUGUGGGACAUUUGUUUGCAAUGACAUUGAUCUGAUCUGUUUCUAA